This 635-nucleotide ribosomal RNA is filed under the name Lactiplantibacillus plantarum. RNAcentral's name for it is "bacterial SSU rRNA". It matches the Rfam family "Bacterial small subunit ribosomal RNA", at positions 371 to 997 of the family's 1533-position model. The record is from RNAcentral. Lineage: Bacteria; Bacillati; Bacillota; Bacilli; Lactobacillales; Lactobacillaceae.
AUGGACGAAAGUCUGAUGGAGCAACGCCGCGUGAGUGAAGAAGGGUUUCGGCUCGUAAAACUCUGUUGUUAAAGAAGAACAUAUCUGAGAGUAACUGUUCAGGUAUUGACGGUAUUUAACCAGAAAGCCACGGCUAACUACGUGCCAGCAGCCGCGGUAAUACGUAGGUGGCAAGCGUUGUCCGGAUUUAUUGGGCGUAAAGCGAGCGCAGGCGGUUUUUUAAGUCUGAUGUGAAAGCCUUCGGCUCAACCGAAGAAGUGCAUCGGAAACUGGGGAACUUGAGUGCAGAAGAGGACAGUGGAACUCCAUGUGUAGCGGUGAAAUGCGUAGAUAUAUGGAAGAACACCAGUGGCGAAGGCGGCUGUCUGGUCUGUAACUGACGCUGAGGCUCGAAAGUAUGGGUAGCAAACAGGAUUAGAUACCCUGGUAGUCCAUACCGUAAACGAUGAAUGCUAAGUGUUGGAGGGUUUCCGCCCUUCAGUGCUGCAGCUAACGCAUUAAGCAUUCCGCCUGGGGAGUACGGCCGCAAGGCUGAAACUCAAAGGAAUUGACGGGGGCCCGCACAAGCGGUGGAGCAUGUGGUUUAAUUCGAAGCUACGCGAAGAACCUUACCAGGUCUUGACAUACUAUGCCAA